RNAcentral lists this ribosomal RNA (292 nucleotides) under uncultured bacterium. Its description in RNAcentral is "partial 16S ribosomal RNA". It matches the Rfam family "Bacterial small subunit ribosomal RNA", at positions 505 to 796 of the family's 1533-position model. The record is from RNAcentral.
GUGUCAGCAGCCGCGGUAAGACAGAGGGUGCAAACGUUGUUCGGAAUUACUGGGCGUAAAGCGCGUGUAGGCUGCUCGGAAAGUCGGGUGUGAAAGCCCUGGGCUCAACCUAGGAAGUGCACUCGAAACUUCCGAGCUGGAGUGCUGGAGAGGAAGGCGGAAUUCUCGGUGUAGAGGUGAAAUUCGUAGAUAUCGAGAGGAACACCGGUGGCGAAGGCGGCCUUCUGGACAGCCACUGACGCUGAGACGCGAAAGCGUGGGGAGCAAACAGGAUUAGAAACCCUAGUAGUCC